Molecule: ribosomal RNA, 253 nt
Filed under: uncultured bacterium
Lineage: Bacteria
Description: partial 16S ribosomal RNA
Rfam family: Bacterial small subunit ribosomal RNA
Source: RNAcentral
GGGCGGUAAAGACGCAUGCAGGUGGUUUGUUUAAGUUCAGAUGUGAAAGACCCGGGGCGUCAACCUCCGGAAUAAGCAUUUGUAAACUAGGCAGACUAGAGUACUGUAGAGGGGGGUAGGGAAUUUCUAGGUGUAGCGGUGAAAUAGCGUAGAGAUCUGAAGGAAUACCGGUGGCGAAGGCGGCCCCCUCGGACAGAUACUGACACUCAGAUGCGAAAGCGUGGGGAGCAAACAGGAUUAGAUACCCUGGUAG